This 401-nucleotide ribosomal RNA is filed under the name uncultured bacterium. Its description in RNAcentral is "partial 16S ribosomal RNA". It matches the Rfam family "Bacterial small subunit ribosomal RNA", at positions 360 to 776 of the family's 1533-position model. The record is from RNAcentral.
AAUCUUGCGCAAUGGGCGAAAGCCUGACGCAGCAACGCCGCGUGCGGGAUGAAGGCCUUCGGGGCGUAAACCGCUUUCAGUGGGGACGAAUCCAGACGGUACCCACAGAAGAAGCCCCGGCCAACUACGUGCCAGCAGCCGCGGUAACACGUAGGGGGCGAGCGUUUUCCGGAUUCAUUGGGCGUAAAGAGCUCGUAGGCGGCUCAGCAAGUCGGGUGUGAAAACUCCAGGCUCAACCUGGAGACGCCACCCGAUACUGCUGUAGCUAGAGUCCAGUAGGGGAGCGUGGAAUUCCCGGUGUAGCGGUGAAAUGCGCAGAUAUCGGGAGGAACACCAGCGGCGAAGGCGGCGCUCUGGGCUGGAACUGACGCUGAGGAGCGAAAGCGUGGGGAGCAAACAGG